CGAAGGGUGCAAGCGUUACUCGGAAUUACUGGGCGUAAAGCGUGCGUAGGUGGUUUGUUAAGUCUGUCGUGAAAUCCCCGGGCUCAACCUGGGAAUGGCGAUGGAUACUGGCAAGCUAGAGUGAGGUAGAGGAGAGUGGAAUUCCCGGUGUAGCAGUGAAAUGCGUAGAGAUCGGGAGGAACAUCAGUUGCGAAGGCGGCUCUCUGGACCAUCACUGACACUGAGGCACGAAAGCGUGGGGAGCAAACAGGAUUAGAUACCCUGGUAGUCCACGCCCUAAACGAUGCGAACUGGACGUUGGGCCCAAUUAGGAGCUCAGUGUCGAAGCUAACGCGUUAAGUUCGCCGCCUGGGGAGUACGGUCGCAAGACUG
RNAcentral lists this ribosomal RNA (372 nucleotides) under uncultured organism. Its description in RNAcentral is "bacterial SSU rRNA". It matches the Rfam family "Bacterial small subunit ribosomal RNA", at positions 526 to 896 of the family's 1533-position model. The record is from RNAcentral.